UGACGAGUGGCGGACGGGUGAGUAAUGCUUGGGAACUUGCCUUUGCGAGGGGGAUAACAGUUGGAAACGACUGCUAAUACCGCAUAAUGUCUUCGGACCAAACGGGGCUUCGGCUCCGGCGCAAAGAGAGGCCCAAGUGAGAUUAGCUAGUUGGUAAGGUAACGGCUUACCAAGGCGACGAUCUCUAGCUGUUCUGAGAGGAAGAUCAGCCACACUGGGACUGAGACACGGCCCAGACUCCUACGGGAGGCAGCAGUGGGGAAUAUUGCACAAUGGGGGAAACCCUGAUGCAGCCAUGCCGCGUGUGUGAAGAAGGCCUUCGGGUUGUAAAGCACUUUCAGUUGUGAGGAAAAGUUAGUAGUUAAUACCUGCUAGCCGUGACGUUAACAACAGAAGAAGCACCGGCUAACUCCGUGCCAGCAGCCGCGGUAAUACGGAGGGUGCGAGCGUUAAUCGGAAUUACUGGGCGUAAAGCGCACGCAGGCGGUUUGUUAAGCUAGAUGUGAAAGCCCCGGGCUCAACCUGGGAUGGUCAUUUAGAACUGGCAGACUAGAGUCUUGGAGAGGGGAGUGGAAUUCCAGGUGUAGCGGUGAAAUGCGUAGAUAUCUGGAGGAACAUCAGUGGCGAAGGCGACUCCCUGGCCAAAGACUGACGCUCAUGUGCGAAAGUGUGGGUAGCGAACAGGAUUAGAUACCCUGGUAGUCCACACCGUAAACGCUGUCUACUAGCUGUGUGUGUCUUU
This 742-nucleotide ribosomal RNA is filed under the name Alteromonadales bacterium HOT1C10. RNAcentral's name for it is "bacterial SSU rRNA". It matches the Rfam family "Bacterial small subunit ribosomal RNA", at positions 89 to 833 of the family's 1533-position model. The record is from RNAcentral. Lineage: Bacteria; Pseudomonadati; Pseudomonadota; Gammaproteobacteria; Alteromonadales.